Non-coding RNA from Caenorhabditis elegans, 252 nucleotides. The record is from Ensembl. NCBI's taxonomy places the organism in Eukaryota, Metazoa, Nematoda, Chromadorea, Rhabditida, Rhabditidae.
UAACUGAGUUGGGGGAUAUAAUUAAAUAAAAUGGAAACAUUUUAGGGUUUCAAAAGCAAACGGAUAUAUAAUUAGGGGGUCCAUUGGGACCAUAAAGCUUUCGAACGCCGAGUUGCCGCCAAACAGUGGGUGACUGCAAUAACUCAACGAUUUAUUGGCCAUUUGUUGACAUCCACCCGUCUGUCAUACCAUGUAAGAUGAGAUUUGUCUCAUAGUGAGAAAGAGUGUCAUUCUCAUUCAUCCGGAAAUUAG